UAGGGAAUCUUCCGCAAUGGACGCAAGUCUGACGGAGCAACGCCGCGUGAGUGAAGAAGGAUUUCGGUUCGUAAAACUCUGUUGUUAGAGAAGAACAGCGCAUAGAGUAACUGUUAUGCGUGUGACGGUAUCUAACCAGAAAGCCACGGCUAACUACGUGCCAGCAGCCGCGGUAAUACGUAGGUGGCAAGCGUUGUCCGGAUUUAUUGGGCGUAAAGCGAGCGCAGGCGGUCAAUUAAGUCUGAUGUGAAAGCCCCCGGCUCAACCGGGGAGGGUCAUUGGAAACUGGUUGACUUGAGUGCAGAAGAGGAAAGUGGAAUUCCAUGUGUAGCGGUGAAAUGCGUAGAUAUAUGGAGGAACACCAGUGGCGAAGGCGACUCUCUGGUCUGUAACUGACGCUGAGGCUCGAAAGCGUGGGUAGCAAACAGG
RNAcentral lists this ribosomal RNA (429 nucleotides) under Bacteroidota bacterium. RNAcentral describes it as "Bacteroidetes bacterium partial 16S ribosomal RNA". It matches the Rfam family "Bacterial small subunit ribosomal RNA", at positions 355 to 776 of the family's 1533-position model. The record is from RNAcentral. Lineage: Bacteria; Pseudomonadati; Bacteroidota.